CGUGUCUGUAACAUCCAUUGUUGCAGACCGAAGAAACAGCAGGAAUGACAGGAAAGAACUCGGUGGGGCUUCUUCAAACUUACUGCAGCGUAUGGAAAAUUUUGUGGAUUGCCAUUGAUCGCUAAAAUGUUGUGCCUUAGAAAUAACUUAGAGAACAUUUCCAGGAAGGCGUCCUCGUGAGCGAAUCAAUCUCACUCACACCGUGAGCCAACCUGGAGCAGUCAGCUUCAAUUUCAUUCACAAUGCUUACCUGCCAACCUAGCGCUGUGUUCCCUACGCUGAUAAUUGAGGAACUUGUGUAAAUUAUAUUUGCCCUUUCGUCUUUUCAACAAGAGUGAACAUAAUGGCCUUAUCUGAACAUUUCUUAGAUAGUAAUUCAAAGGCUUCUUUUUCUCCUUUCAUAGUCAAUUAUUAAUUCCAGAAACCGGCAGCCAUUUUUGAAACGAAACCAUUUUUAACAGUGAGAUUGACAGUUUUGACACUGUCAUUCUGUGUGGACAACAAAAGCCAAAAAUGAGAUUCCAGCUCGUCUUUACUUUGUUGAGCUGACAGUGUGCAGUGAACACAAUUGUUGAAUAGACUUGAAAGAGGUUGUGUGUAUCUCUGUAUGUAUGUGUGUGAGAAAGAGACAGUGGUGUUGUGGUGUGCCCCAGGGCCUGGCUAACUGCAAGAGGGGAAGCAGUGAAAUUGCUGCACGGGAGAUCAACAGUAUCUGGUGUGAAACAUGAACGUGUCUUCCAGGCUAAACUGAGAUUUUCAUGUUUCCUGUGGCCCGGGCGAGUAACAGACACACAUUACAUAUGCUCCUCUCCCCUUCAGCUAUUCUCAAUCAAGAGUAAAGUGGCUCAGGGGAAGUGUAAUAUUGACCGGGAUAGGUGAGUAAACAUACUAAUCUUUCGAUAAUCAAUACAGAAUUCCAGUGUUUCUCUCUCUCUUAGUUCUUUUUCUCUCUCAUCCUCUUCAUAUGUUUUCUUUCUUGCUUUCUUUCUGUGGAGACCUGCUGCAGUUUAGUGGCCUUAGGGACUGGAUGAAGUGCCAGAGGCUCGUCU
Cyprinus carpio (common carp) is the source of this 1049-nucleotide long non-coding RNA. NCBI's taxonomy places the organism in Eukaryota, Metazoa, Chordata, Actinopteri, Cypriniformes, Cyprinidae. The record is from Ensembl.